Molecule: transfer RNA, 103 nt
Filed under: Ceratobasidium sp. 395
Lineage: Eukaryota; Fungi; Basidiomycota; Agaricomycetes; Cantharellales; Ceratobasidiaceae
Also listed under: 1 other name
Description: tRNA-Ala
Rfam family: tRNA
About the family: Transfer RNA (tRNA) molecules are approximately 80 nucleotides in length. Their secondary structure includes four short double-helical elements and three loops (D, anti-codon, and T loops). Further hydrogen bonds mediate the characteristic L-shaped molecular structure. tRNAs have two regions of fundamental functional importance: the anti-codon, which is responsible for specific mRNA codon recognition, and the 3' end, to which the tRNAs corresponding amino acid is attached (by aminoacyl-tRNA synthetases). tRNAs cope with the degeneracy of the genetic code in two manners: having more than one tRNA (with a specific anti-codon) for a particular amino acid; and 'wobble' base-pairing, i.e. permitting non-standard base-pairing at the 3rd anti-codon position.
Source: RNAcentral
GGGCAUGUAGUGUAGGGGUUAUCGCGCCUCAUUCGCAACUUCAGGAAUUGAACCAUGAAGUCACGUGUUGAGGAGGUCUCCGGUUCAAUUCCGGACUUGUCCA